Non-coding RNA from Paramuricea clavata, 238 nucleotides. The record is from the annotation of a GenBank genome assembly. Lineage: Eukaryota; Metazoa; Cnidaria; Anthozoa; Malacalcyonacea; Plexauridae.
UAGACGGAGCAGAUACAUGCACACACUGCGGAACUAGUGCUAUGAACAACUUCACAUACUACGUUAGUUACAAUCACAACAAGGACGACUACUUGAAAAAGAAAUCGUCCCAUAAUAGAGUCCGUUGGUUUGAGAGACACUUAUUCGAGCAUGUUGCUUCUGGGGAUAGGGACACCAUACGGGAGCAGUUUAGAAGCAUCGUAAGAUGUAUACAAAGACUUAGACUGCAACGGGGGCG